Homo sapiens (human) is the source of this 1507-nucleotide long non-coding RNA. Ensembl annotates it as CCDC26 long non-coding RNA. Its record names the gene CCDC26. The record is from Ensembl. Lineage: Eukaryota; Metazoa; Chordata; Mammalia; Primates; Hominidae.
GCUACUGGCCCAUAAUCAGGCAACUGCAGAGUCUUAGGGGGUUAUCUAAUGUAGUCUUGGGGUGGCUGGAUAGACUUCCCAAAGAAGGUGAUGCCGAAGCUGAGGUCGGAAAUUACGAAGAUCAGCUAUCAAACUUGGAAAUCAUGUCUUAGAGAUCAAGGAGCCAAGAGAUGAGACAAGCCUGGGUUCCUAGGUGAUAGGGUGUGGCUGUGUCCCCACCCAAAUCUCGUCUUGAAUUGUAGCUCCCAUAAUCCCCACAUGUUGUGGAGGGACCCUGUGGAAGUGCAGCCCUGGCCAGAGAGGGCAGAAGCCAUUUAUUGUGGAUGCAAAGCUGUGACUAUGGCUGCCUGAACAGUGUGAUAUAUGUUCUCUAUCUCUGCUUUUAUAAGGCAGCUGUUUCUCGGAGGAUCAAGCUCAGCAUCUACUUGUUUCCAAAGUUAUUUGGGUCAGCAUUUUCCUCCACCCACCACUUAAAACUGAUUUGUUUCAUACAUUUGAAAUGUAUGAAAAGCCAGAAAUCCAGGACCCACCCUGGCCUGCUCCCUUUUUCUCACCUACUGUGUUAAGGAUAAGUCAAUUGAGCUUCACUUCUCUAAUUGAAAUCACCGUGCUGAUGGAGUCUGUCUGUGGAAAUGAAAGGUGGCUACCAUAAUCUGUUGGGAGUUGAAUUAAUCCUCUGGGAGUGAGGCUGACCUAAUUACUCAGAAAUACUGGGCUUGCUUUCAUUCUGUGGAAUACAGCCAUGAGAAAGAGGCCAGCAUGCCAUUUCCUAAUCUUUUCUUGAAUUGCCUGAAACUCACCUAACAUGAAACUGAGAAGCCUUUUCAUUUGAAAGUGGUAUUUCUUAUGUUUUUUAUCUUUUUGCUUGAAAGUAUUCUUAAACUAAAGAAAGGAGAAACAGAAAAGGUGAAGAAGCCAAGAGGCUGGAGUUUCCUUUUGAAUGGAUAUUCAUCCAUGAAGCUGUUGAUUCUGUUUUUCUGUUCCUCCAGAUGUCUACACUUUUACCUCUGCUUGCCUGAUACAACCACCACCAGUCACCUCACAGAAUAACUCACUCCUUAAGAAUCUGAUCAGGAAUCAGCCUUCCCUGAUCACAAACACUGAGUUUAGAAGUCCCUCCACAGUGUCCCCCGUAACCCUGUGCUACCUCACUGCCUCAUAGUUUAGUGCCGUUUGUGUACAUGCCUAUCUUCGUCCAUGGAUCCAGAACAACUUGUAAAAAUGACUGUACUUAUCACCUUCAGUAUUCAAUGACUAAACUAUAAUUUUAACAUAUCUGGCAGAAUGAAUCACUUGGGGAUUUCUGCCAACACUACCAAUAUAUUACUCCUAAUUUGUAAUUAUUACUUAGCAUGGAUUAUAGUACCGGCUGUUGGAGAGCCAAUGUGGCAGACCCUAAGUGGAAUAAAAUGUCAGUAGCAGUCUAGGAGCAUAUAUUUAUUGGAAUAGAUCAUUCAUUCAUUUGUUCAUUAACUAAUUUGUUCAUUAAAUAAACAUUUAUUAAGCA